AAAGGGCUGCAGUAGCUUGACUGUGCGAAGGUAGCAUAAUCAUUUGUCUUUUAAUUGAAGGCUGGAAUGAACGGUUUGAUGAAGGAUUCAGUGUCUUUGUUUUAUAUCUAGAAUUUUACUUUUAAGUUAAAAGGCUUAAAUAUUAUUAAAUGACGAUAAGACCCUAUAAAACUUUAUAUGAUUGAAUUUCGUUUCUCUAGGAAGGUUACAUAAAGAUCUUGAUUUACAUCAUAUUAUGUUGGGGCGACAGGAAUAGGAAAAUCAUCUGUUUCUAAUAAGAGGUUAGCUAUAAUUAUAAAUGAUCCCUUACUAAGGAUUAAAAGAAUAAGUUACUUUAGGGAUAACAGCGCUAUGUUCUUUGAGAGAUCUUAUUAACAAGAAUAGUUGCGACCUCGAUGUUGAAUUAAAAUAUACUAUUAGGCGUAGAAGCUUAAUGAAGUAAGUCUGUUCGACUUUUAAAAUUUUACAUGAUUU
This 474-nucleotide ribosomal RNA is filed under the name Cuapetes anacanthus. Its description in RNAcentral is "partial 16S ribosomal RNA". It matches the Rfam family "Bacterial large subunit ribosomal RNA", at positions 1925 to 2606 of the family's 2925-position model. Lineage: Eukaryota; Metazoa; Arthropoda; Malacostraca; Decapoda; Palaemonidae. The record is from RNAcentral.